Molecule: long non-coding RNA, 6222 nt
Organism: Alligator mississippiensis (American alligator)
Lineage: Eukaryota; Metazoa; Chordata; Crocodylia; Alligatoridae
Exons: 2
Source: RefSeq, a predicted model, not a curated record
CACAGCAGGCACUCUCUCCCCUCUCCCUUCACAUGUGCUGCUCUCUUUGUUUCUGUUUUCCUCCUGAUCUCUCUCUCCCCCAUCUGGGUAGCCCCGCGACUUUUCUCCUGGGAGAGGCUGCUAAGGGACCAGGACUCCCCCACCAUGAUUCAAGACAGACUCGAGGGGAACGCCUCAAGACCUAAGGUUGAGGAGGACCGGGUUAGACAGCUUCCAGAGGGGCUGGCCGUGUUCAAGUCAGCAGGUCCAGAUGCUCUCCACCCCAUGGUGUUGAGGGAGCUAGCAGGGGUUAUUGCAGGGCCGUUGGCACAGCUUUAUGAGUGCUCGUGGUGCUUGGGUCAGGUUCCAGAUGAUUGGAAGAUGACCGAUGUGGUCCCCAUCUUUAAAAAAGGGAGGAGGGAGGACCCAGGCAACUAUAGGCCUGUCAGUCUUACCUCAAUCCUGGGGAAACUCUUUGAGAAGAUCAUCAAGGAGCACAUCUGUGAUGAGCUGGUAUCGGGGAUGAUGCUCACGGGCAACCAGCACGGUUUCAUUACAGGCAGGUCAUGUCAGACCAACCUGAUUGCCUUUUACGAUCAGGUCACAAAAGCAUUGGAUGCAGAUGUCGCCAUGGAUGUAGUCUUUCUGGAUUUCAGCAAGGCCUUUGACACUGUCAACCACCCCAUCCUCAUUAAAAAACUAGGCAACUGUGGCAUCGAUGCCUGCACAGUCAGAUGGAUUGCAAAUUGGCUGAAGGGUCGUACUCAGAGGGUGGUGGUGGACGGGGCAUAUUUGACCUGGGGGAAGUGGGCAGCAGAGUCCCCCAGGGCUCAGUCCUUUGGCCUGCACCCUUCAAUUUCUUUAUCAGCAAUUUGGACGAUGGGGUGAAAAGCAACCUGUUCAAAUUUGCAGAUGAUACCAAAAUUUGGGGUGAGGUGGGCACGUUAGUAGGGAGGGAAAGACUGAAGAAAGACCUCCGAAAUCUGGGACUGUCCUGGCCAAAGCCAGAUGUAUGGUCACCCUACUUAUAAUGAUCUCUCUCUCAAUUUUAACAGCAUGUGAUAUGGUAAGACAGACAAAAAAUGAAAUAUCUCUACCUCUUUUAAUCUCAAAUACUGUAUGAGAUCAUGUGCUCAACAGUAAGGGAAAAAAUGGGUUGACAGGAAAGUUCAUGCGCAACAGAUAUAAAGCCUGUGUCCCAGUCCUGCAGAGCUCGUAGUAUUUCUUGCAAUGAACCACUUAUCCUCAUCUCCUAUGCAAGGUAAAAUAGAAACUAAAGGCACUCAUUACCUUGCUAAAUAAGGCCCCAGAAGGCUUUGGCUCACAACUAACUCAAAUGUUUGUUUUCAGAAAAAUUUCACUGCUAAAUGCUUGCUCAAAGAUUAUUUCCGUUAGGAAAAAGAAAAGGCAAUGCUGCAUAUAUUUCAAGGACAGCACAGCCAAGCUUCAUAAAACCUCAUGGCUUACAUAUCCUCUUAGAUACACUGUCAGGUCAUACUGAAGAUGGAAACUGCAACAUUUUAACUAUUGACAGUAUUUAUAUUGCACCAGUUAAAAAGGCCCUUCUGCUUUGAGAUAUCAAGUAUUCCUAAAUAUUAAAAAACUAUUUUGAAUAAAAUGAGGAAUACUAAGGGAAACAGUAAUUACUAGGGCUGUGUGAAACAGCACCAUUUCAUUUCUACUUCCGUUUGACAUUUCAAUGGGACAGCAUUUCAUUUUGAGUUUCAUUUUGUUUUGAAACCACUGUUCUGUUUUGUUUCAUCAAAACUGUUUCACUGUUUUGAUGUUUUGCCCAUGGACUAUAAUGGGGAAGCACAAAACUGCCUACAAUUUUGUCUUUUCUUGAAGGGAUGGUAGCCUCUUCUAAGGCCACGAAACCUGCCAAGUUUCAAGGAGAUAGGUGCAGGAGUUUCUGGGAAACUGAACCUCAGACUGCUGACAAGCAAAACUCAUGACAUGUGUGGCUGCGUGUGUUUUCCAUCCCUCCUCCAGAGCACUUGAUUUGGAAGGGACAACGAGGAAGGAUGACAGUCACUGGCCAGCUACACAGUCCAUAUCAGAGCAGUCCUUCCCUCCUUUUUCCCCCACUUGCCCCUCCCUCUCCUUACUUUCUGUUUCCCUGCAGGCAAGCUCAGCUUCAGAAUUCAAAACUUUUUAAAACUUUCAAAAUGUUUUGAAUGCCCUCAUUUCAUUUUGAGGCUGUUUUGAAGCCCUUAAUUCAUUUCAAUUCCACUGUUUUGAGUUCAAAACAAGUCAAAACAGCAUCAAAAUGAAACAGCUGGUGAAAUUUCAUGCAGUCCUAGUAAUUAGAACCAGAAUCAGCAUAUAAAUACACUCUGUAAAUCUAUUACCAAAGUAAAACUAUAUCAUGACAGGAAUGUAAUCAAACUAAGUUGCGGUCUACCAGUACUAAAAGCCUUAUAGCUGGAUAUCAAAAUCUUACUUUUUGUUUACUCAAAGAGAAAACGGUAAGGGAGCAAUGGAAGAAUGUAGCCUUAUUCAUGGGCUUGUACUACUUUAGUGCUGCAUGCAUGAGUCAUGCUAGAAGAAUAGUUUGUUGGAUGAAACAAUCUGGUUUGAGAUCAAAUGGAAGAAUUCUUGAAUGUCUUUUAUGUGUUUUGUAAACUAAUAGGCCACGUACCAACGUUCAGUUUCUACUGGAGGAAUCUCUGUUCUCCAAGUCAAAGUAAAAGUGUGCAAAUGUUCAAGCUUUUUCUGUGAGAGCAAAAAUGUCCAUUCCAGGAGAGAAAUAACCUAGUGUAAUAUACUGUGUGAACUGAAUAUAAUUCACUGCAAUGUGCAUGUGCAACAGCAGGAAAGCAGCCCAGAUGACUAGAUUUGGACUGGAAGUUCCAAAAGUCCCCAAGAGGAACAGUCCUGCAGAGCUGUGCUGAGUGCAUGUAGACUACAACCCCCUGGAGACAAAGGGAGAGGGUGCAGAAAGCAGUGGCAGAGUGCAGGACACAGCGGCAGAAGGGAAUGCAUAGCUGGAGAUCCUAGAGGAGCGGCAGAUCUGGGACCGCGGACCGGAGCAGCGGGACUUGGACAUGGAAGCACGUGAAGACUGCAGUUGAGGACUCCAGACUAGAGGCUGGUUUGAAGCACUUCCAGAAGUAUGGGAGGGUUUGUUUCUUGAGUGUACAUACCAGUGGUAGUGCUACCUGUACUUGAGUGAAUUCACCAGUGUUGCUACUUAUUGCCUGUUACCUAGUCCCUAAUUGUACCUUAAUGUUAAUGUUAAUGUUUAUUUACCUGUUCCUUUCUCUUUAGCCCAUUGGCUUGUGACCCUGACCCCUAGCAUUUUCUAUAUAAAAAUGGGAGUUUCCCUUUUUUGCUUCCUGUACCAGUUUCUGGGGUUGUGGGGUUUAGUAUAGUAGGAACAACCAGGGUUAUAUUGUUCCCAGGAUAGUUUCCCCCCAGGAGACAGAAUGUCUGCACACUUCUCCCAGCUUAACUCCCCCUGAGCACACCUACACGUGCACAUUUAAUGUGCAGUAAUUUAGUUUACUGCUCAAUAACCUACACAGUACAGCUGUAUGUCUACAUAUGCACACCCAUACUGUGCAUUAACUAUGGUGACUUACACCGACUUGGAUGCAGGUAUCAAAUGUGAGCCUGAUUAAUUAGUGUGCAAUAAUGCACAUGUAGAUGACUUACUGUGCAGCAACUCUGUUUGUAUGGACUAACUUGGGAAUAAUUUUAGCCCUAUGUCAGUCCACAUACAGUAUUACUGCACUUUAAUGGCUGCAUGUGUAGACACUGGCCCAAAAAACGGUUAGUGCGCAGUAAAUGCACAUGUAGAUGCACCCCCUGAGAACCAGGAGGAAUGGAACCCAGAGAAAGGCCCCCGUGCUUUCUGGAGGCUAGGGCCUUCUGGAGGCCCCCAUCCCUUCUGAAAACUGCUGCUCUGCCCUGCUGUAGACAGAAGGGGAGGAGGGGCAGGAUGGGAAGCGGCCUCAAGCUGUUCCCUGCUUGCUUCUCACACUAGGAAUUCUUCUUCAGGAGUCUUGGUGUAAGAAGCAGGUAGGGGCUUCUGGGCACCUUCUCUCAGGCCUGUCAGCUUCCUCUUGCCUUCCCUCACCUGAGUGGCAGGGGUGGUAAUUGAAAAGCCAGACAUUGGUCUUGCAAGCCUUGCUCUCACCUGCACUGGCUUCCCUUGUAUUCCCCAUUCCACUCAGAUGAUUGGUGAGGGCAGGGUUAGAGGGACUAGAAGCCCACCUUGCAGAGGCUUUCCUGAAAUGUGCUCCCAUCCCCACUGACUUCCCCUUACUGCCCAGCUGACCCAGGGCAGACUUGAUCAAGGCAGGCUGCUGUGCCACAUGGCAAGCUCAGGAGCCUUCCUGCCACAGCAAAAUGCCCUUGCCUCACACCUCACUGUGCUGUUAGCCUGGAGCAGAGCAGGGCAGGGUGAAAUAGGCUGCUAUGCCCCUUCAGCAAGGCUCCCAGAGCCUUGCAACAGUAGCUAAUUGGUCCUCCCUAUCUGCAGUCCUCCAGGGGAUCUCAGAAAAGUGCAAGGAGCAGAGCUGGGAGAGGUCCCACCCUGGGAGAAUGGCUUCUUCCUGUCAGUCACCUGAUUGAUGGGAUGGGGGUGCAUUCUCCCAGGGUUGGAGUCAUCCCAGGGCUGUCUAUGACAGCUGCUGCUUUUCAGUCACUGCCAAAUAUCACUUAAUAAACUACCCCCUUCCCAGGCAGAAGAGAGGGCAGGCAGUUGAUUAAUGAGCUCUCCUAAGGGCAGACAUGGCCCAGGGAGCAGCCAUCUGGUGCCCCUUGGCUAGAGAAAUUGCCUAUGAAGCUUUCCAGCUAUGGGGCUGGAGGAACAUCUGUACAGUCUAACUCCCAGAAUGUUUGUAUGCAGCCACAAUGUGUAAUGUUUAACACCACUGCUGGCCACCCUAUUUAAUAUAUUAUCUAUAACUUUAUUGCUUCCCCCAGCCGGUAGGAUGGCAAUUAGUGACAUCCUUGGCUCCCCUACCCUGGUAUGUUACAGGGUUUUUAACUGGUUCUCUGUGGCUGAACAAAGUAGAUCAGAGGUGUCAGAGAUAUGGCCUAUGGAUUUGGCCCAUUAUCUGGCCCCCCGUGCUGCCCCUGGGUCUGGAGUUGACGCACAUACAGCAUGCAGCAUGUGCCAUGUGCCAGAUAGGCCCAUGUGCAGGUCCUGGGGUAUGUGCCACAUGCAGAGCAUGCUAGAGCUGGCCUGGGACCCACGCUGUACACUAUGUCUGCCCCGGCCUGUCCAGGAUGUGUACCACAUGCACUGCAUGUGGUAUGCAUCUGGAAGUUCCAGGACUUUCCAGGACUAAUACCUGAUCAAUGUGUGUGGACUGACUUUAGUCCCAAGUCAGUCCACACACAGUGUUACUGCACUGUAAUGGCUCGACAUGUAGACGCCAGCCUUUCUAGAUGUUCCAGGACUUGUGCUCCAUAUGACAACACCUCUUCCCCCCACCAGCUGCUCUAGUGUGACUGGCCAGAGAGGACACUGUGUACACUGGAUCCAGUAGGGGGGAGGCCAACUGGAUUAUGGGCCUGGUUUUUCCUGCAGGGAUGGCACUGCACCACUCAUCUAGCCCACGGGGCUAAAUUAGUUUAACACCCUCGAGUAGAUGAUCUUGUGAAAAAAUGUUUGCCUGAAAGUGCAGGAAACUGGACUUGAUGGCUGAGAGGCCCCUUCUGCACACCUAUAGCAUGCCUUAUAUUUAAAGAUGAGCUACACAGAAUCAUUAUCUCUCCCAAUUUAUAGAGGUAGAUGUACUCACCCUUCCGGUAAUGUGAUCACAAAGACUUUGCUAAAGCUUUGGUCAAAGUAGGCCUGGCCAGAAAACCUGAUCAAUGCAUGAGCUCUUUACAUAAGCAAAACUUGGCAUGUGCGCCAGAUGGGCACUCUUGCCAGAAGGUGGAAGGGGGAGAUGGCUGCACAAAGUGUAGGAUAUCCCAGUGCCUGUAUGAUAAGACUAGAACAGGAACACUUAGGUCAGGAUGUGAAGAAACCCAUGGUGCAGGAUGGUUUGAGAAAUUCAAGAUGCAGGUGGAAUGCAAAUACUUAAUUUGAUUUGAUCAGCGUAUAAAAAAGGGAUAGAAAGUAUGGGAAAUUUGAAGUGGCCUAGGGGAUCCUGUGUGGUGUAGUUGUGACUACCUUGUCACAGGCACAAAUGCUGUAAUUCCUGGUCUGAUGUACUUGUUAGUCCAAAAUAUGUUAGGGCUGUUCUUGUAGACAAUAAACCUGGCUAAAUCUUUGCAACUGAA